Molecule: non-coding RNA, 100 nt
Organism: Hyaloraphidium curvatum
Lineage: Eukaryota; Fungi; Monoblepharomycota; Hyaloraphidiomycetes; Hyaloraphidiales; Hyaloraphidiaceae
Source: the annotation of a GenBank genome assembly
GGGGAUUUAGUUUAGUGGUAUAACGUUCCGUUCGCAUUAGAGCACAUCCUGCUUGGAGCGUGCUUCGGAAAGGCCCCGGGUUCAAUUCCCGGAAUCUCCA